UACGAAGGGGGCUAGCGUUGUUCGGAAUUACUGGGCGUAAAGCGCGCGCAGGCGGGUUAUUAAGUCAGAGGUGAAAUCCCAGAGCUCAACUCUGGAACUGCCUUUGAAACUGGUGACCUUGAGUACGGGAGAGGUGAGUGGAAUUCCCAGUGUAGAGGUGAAAUGCGUAGAGAUUGGGAAGAACACCGGUGGCGAAGGCGGCUCACUGGCCCGUAACUGACGCUCGGGCGCGAUAGCGUGGGGAUCAAACAGG
This 253-nucleotide ribosomal RNA is filed under the name uncultured bacterium. Its description in RNAcentral is "partial 16S ribosomal RNA". It matches the Rfam family "Bacterial small subunit ribosomal RNA", at positions 524 to 776 of the family's 1533-position model. The record is from RNAcentral.